AUUCCAGCUCCAAAAGCGUAUAUUAAAGUUGCUGCAGUUAAAAAGCUCGUAGUUGGAUUUCUGGUUUGACGUGCCCGGCCCGCUGCUUUAUAGUGGUGUGUGCUGGCGCUGCGUCUGCCAUCCUUCCAGAAACUGGUGAUACCUUUCGUUAGGUCGUCUGCCAAGGUCUGGAUCUUUUACUUUGAAAAAAUUAGAGUGUUCAAAGCAGGCUUGUCGCUGUGAAUACAUUAGCAUGGAAUAAUAAUUUAGGACAAUCUGUCUUAUUUUGUUGGUCUAUAAGAUGUUUGUAAUGAUUGAUAGGGAUAGUUGGGGGUGCUAGUAUUUAUCGGCCAGAGGUGAAAUUCUCAGAUUCGAUAAAGACUAACUUAUGCGAAAGCAUUCACCAAGGAUGUCUUCAUCG
This 400-nucleotide ribosomal RNA is filed under the name Sarcomonadea sp. Its description in RNAcentral is "partial small subunit ribosomal RNA". It matches the Rfam family "Eukaryotic small subunit ribosomal RNA", at positions 582 to 975 of the family's 1831-position model. The record is from RNAcentral. Lineage: Eukaryota; Cercozoa.